GCCAGAGGAGGCCGGGAGUUGGCCGGGCCCGAGGCGGGUCUUGUCUCCGGUGGUGGAGCUGCCCCCGGGCCUGCGGUCUCGGGCCCGGCGCACACACCGUGUCCCCGGGGCGCGCGGGGAUGCUGUGUCCUCCGCGGAGCUCGGCCCAGGCGCGGCGGGCACCAGCCGGCCUGCGCCGCUCUCCCCGCCGCCACCAGCGGCUACCUGGCUCUUUCCUUGGCAAUCUCAAAGCAAAUGAUCGUAAAAGGAUAAGGUCUGGGCCAGAGAGAUGGGGCAAGGUGGGAAGCUGUGACUGCCUCGUUAGAACAGAGUGGUGUAGCCCACCUCGAAGCUUCCAACGUUUAACCGAGCUGAGACGAGCGCCUGGCAUGAGGCCCUCAAGUGGGAACAGGGAGCUCUCGAAAGAAUAUGGCCAAUUCCGAAUUUGUGAACAGCUAGGACUCCACUUAGCAAAUUGUUGGCAGUUCUGUAGAAACAAGGUUGUAAUUAGUUGAUUUGUUCAGGACUGUUCACAAAACCUAGGAAACUCAGAAUGUGCCCCUUCCAUUCAAGAAACUUGGAAUACUCAGUUCCAAAAUUUCUGAGGACAGGUGGAUAGAACUCAUCGAAUGAAUCACAUUCCUUGUUUUUGAGGGAUUCAACUUACGAAAUAAUUGGAUUAUUGCAAUGUAAAUUAAGGAUAAAAUACUAUGCCAAAAUCUCCUGGGGCAGAGAGGCAGCAGCAAGAAUGUACAUUUUAAACAAGGUUCGAGGUUAUUCUGCGGUUCACUGCAGUCUCCAAACCACUUGAGAAAGUAAAUGGACAAGAAGAGCAGAUGAGAACUCUAGUUCACAGAGUUGGCGUUUUCAUUGAACUGUACAAAUAAGUAACUAGGGGAAUAUAUAGAGUUACUCAAUUUUUUAUACUUUUAGUUGCCAAAUAAGAUCCUAAAACACCACAAACAUAGAAAUCUCUCAGUUGUCACCAUGAUUUCAUGAAAUAAAGUAGGAAGGAUAUAAUUUCAGAAUUUCAAAAAAUAUAAAUUUAGUUUUAUGAAAGACCAUAUCAUUCUUAGUUUCCUUAAACAGUGAAAACUUUGUUGCAGACAUGCGCAGACUGCUCUAUGGAUCAUUGAACAAAACAAUAUGUUUUUUCCCUAGUGUAUAUAGAGAAUGCAGGAGAUAAUGCUGGUGUGUAAGGAAAGAGGAUUAGUUCUUAAUUUUAGACGUUGAAUUUUAGGGACCUAUGAGAUAAGAAGACAGGCCAUGUAAGGUAAAAAAAAAAAAAAAAAAAAAAAAAACUACAUAACGCUUCAGUCACCUACACAUUUGUAAACCUACCAGUAUUCUCUUUUUGCAGCUUCCCAGAUUAAAUCUGUUCUGUUACCGUUGUAGAAUAUCUUCUAAAUUUUAGUAACUCACCACUGUAAUGAGCCAUUGUGGGUUUCCUAAAGAGCAUUGAUGCUGGUUCUGUGAGAAGGCGUCCAUGCCCUCCUCUUUACACGUGAGCGAACCCCGAAGUACUCUCUUUUGCCUUGAUAAAUUAAUGAAUUGAUAUAAAAUACUAUGAAAAGCAGGUAAAACUGACUAAGCAGAAGAGCCAGUAAAAUUGUCAGACCGUUAGUUAUAUUUUAACAGUAACUAAUCUGAGUAUACAUGUAUCCUUCCCAAAGACAGAAUUCGUUAAUACCACUCUGAGUCAGGUAUUACUAGAAAGGAAGGAAGACAGGAAAUGAAAAAUAAAACGUGGGGGGGAGUAGAAAAAAUUGAUCCAACAAAAAGCUGUCAAUAACAAUCAUGAAGGUUAUCUGUGCAUAGCAAUGAAUAUUCACCUCAUGGUUAAAGGAGAUUCCACCCAUCUUCCUGAGUAGGAGGCAGAGACAAUGGAUGUGAUUGCUAAUUGAAAGAUUUGGGACAAAAAACUCUAAAGCUGAAGAUUAUUCUUUGACUAAGGUUAUGAAGUUUGGAGUAGAAGAGCAGAAAAAUGCAAACUUUCAUUACUUCUAGGUAAAAACUACCAAAAAAAAUGAUAUGGAAGCUUAAGUGCAUAAAAAGAGAAACUGUUUAUGAAGAGGCACUAAAUAAACAAACGUAGAAACAUUCAGAAAGAAGAUGGGGUAUUUCAGACACUACUUGGUAGGACAAGCUGCCACCUGAUGUUUCACAUGAGGAUCCUGAGCACUGAGAAAUGCAGAGAAGAAAGACAGAUGACCCUGAGCACCAUGUUCUUCAACUAGGCGGAGUUAACCUGAAAAUGCCUCAGGAUGUUUAACCUCUGUAAUUUAUUUUAAAAUACUAUAUUUAUUUUAGUUGCUAUUCCAUUAGAUGUUCAAAUCAUUUUCACCUAUCCCAAACAUAUUGUGCAGUGACUCAUCAGACAUCUGUGGCAAGUAAAUAUACACAGUGUAUUUUUAGAGUAGCGAAUAUGUGUGUAUGCAUUUAUAGUAUGAGCAAAAUUAAACCUGAUCUGAAAAAAAGUGAAUUUUUCAGCCCUGACCACUACUGUGCCAUUUCAUCUUUAGAACCUACAUUUCCGUGGUAUAAUUUUCAGAUCAUUUCCCACCUUUAAAUGCCAGAAUUAAUGGGAAAUUGUCUUUUUUCUGUGUACUGCUUUGCUGGAGAGGCCCUUCUGCAAUGAACGUUGAAUGCUGUUAAGCCCUAUUUAUGGCUUUAAUAGCUUUGUAUUAAUGAAAAAAUCAGAUACCCUUUAUAUACCCACCUCAGGGGUUCAUGCAGGAGAUGUUCUAUUGAUGUGAAAGAGUCAAAUUGAUUUCUGCCAAAGAUGAGAAAGUAGUAGAAAGGCUCAAACUGCAUGUGGAUAAUGAAAUGGCUUGUUUUAUCACAAAUAUUCUCUGCACAUGUGUUCCACUUCUUUCGUCUAAUGGCUGACCCCUGCUUUUCCUAAAGCUCAAAUUUUGGUGUCUAAACUGUUAUGUGUGUCAACAGAAAGAGGCAAUGAAGAGGAUCUCAGAACAUUUUAGUGAGAAGAGAGCAAAAUGUAGAAAUAUCAUUUCUGCAUUUUGAUUUAUGUGUUCAAGGUUAUUUGGAUAAUUGGAAAGUUUGCUUUUCAGAUGAGUUAGACUUCCUGGAACAAUUAAUCAGGGUCUUAAUUACUGCAUCUGUAAAAAUGAGGUAAGAUGUGCGAGGCUAAGAACCUUCUAGCAUGGAACUGUAGUUUUUUUCCUCUUCCCUUUAAAGUAUCAGGAAUUUCCAAGCCAUCAACAUUUGCUGAAUCUGGCCAUGCAUAGUCUUCAAAAAUAGUGAAUGUUUCAUUUAUUUUCAAAAUACUUUCCAUUUCAGUAGGUUUCCGUGAAGUGAAAACAUUUACCAUAAUGGAUGAAUUUCAUCAGGGAGCUGCUUUAACAGCGUCCUAAAUGAAUAGAGUAAAAGCAUUGCAAAGAUACAGUCAAAAAGAAGUAAGCUUCUUUUUUAAAAAUGUGCUAAAUUUUAAAGCCUGGCCUUAUGCUGCAAAUUGGACAGUAUCCCAGGUAUUUUGUUAAGAGUGAAUACUGUAGAGAAGUCAGAGACAAAAGAUAGAAUCUGGAGUAGAGUCAGCUGGACUAGACCCAGCUAGACUAGAUACCGUGGUAAAAGCAAGACCACCUUGGCCG
Molecule: long non-coding RNA, 3590 nt
Organism: Equus caballus (horse)
Lineage: Eukaryota; Metazoa; Chordata; Mammalia; Perissodactyla; Equidae
Source: Ensembl